Molecule: ribosomal RNA, 497 nt
Filed under: uncultured bacterium
Lineage: Bacteria
Description: partial 16S ribosomal RNA
Rfam family: Bacterial small subunit ribosomal RNA
Source: RNAcentral
GAUGAACGCUGGCGGCGUGCCUAAUACAUGCAAGUCGAGCGAACAGACGAGGAGCUUGCUCCUCUGACGUUAGCGGCGGACGGGUGAGUAACACGUGGAUAACCUACCUAUAAGACUGGGAUAACUUCGGGAAACCGGAGCUAAUACCGGAUAAUAUAUUGAACCGCAUGGUUCAAUAGUGAAAGACGGUUUUGCUGUCACUUAUAGAUGGAUCCGCGCCGCAUUAGGUAGUUGGUAAGGUAACGGCUUACCAAGGCAACGAUGCGUAGCCGACCUGAGAGGGUGAUCGGCCACCCUGGAACUGAGACACGGUCCAGACUCCGACGGGAGGAAGCAGUAGGGAAUCUUACGCAAGGGGGGAAAGCCUGACGGAGCAACGCCGCGUGAGUGAUGAAGGUCUUCGGAUCGUAAAACUAUGUUAUUAGGGAAGAACAAAUGUGUAAGUAACUAUGCACGUAUUGACGGUACCUAAUCAGAAAGCCACGGCUAACUACGUG